UUUCCCUCAGCUGUUCAAUCCAACAUGAAUAGCUGCAAUUUGCAAAUUAGAGGAAAAUGACAGUGUUUUCUCUGAAUGGUUGUGGUCCCAACCCACACUAACAUUGGCAUUCAGUUCCUUUCUUCCCAGCCCAGGGAAUGGGGGAAUAAGGCAAGCUAUUUCUUUUGCUCACAAGAGCCUCAGGUUCACACACCAGAGGAAGAAUCAGCUCCCCCUGGAAUCUUUCUCAGCAAACACAGUCCUUCAGCCUGCUCUGCAAUUCCUCUCCUGACUUGAACAUUGCACUCUUUUUCAAACAGGCCCAUCUGCAGUACUACCAGUGCUCUGAGUUAAGAGAGGAACAGGCACCAAAAUAAUUUAAACAUGUGAAACACCAAAUAUGCCUUCGACCCCCGGGGCUCGGGGCUCACAGGGUUGCGAGUGGCCCUAGUGGUUCCCAGGUGAUCUCUGACUUCACUUUCUCCUGCAGCACUGCCCUCUUAAGUUGCCAGGCUUUAAGCUCAGACAGGAAGGACGUGCUUCUGGGUUUGGCUUACAAUAACCCAACCUCUUCCCAAAAGCAUCAUCUCAGAAUGAAGGCUGCCCCCAAAGCAUUUUUUGGGUUUGCAGAUAUCUAGGGACUCCCACAACAGCAUACUCCAGAAGUGUUAGGGAUGUUCAGAAGAUCAGAGGGGCCAUACCAGGCUGCAGCCUUGGGCAGGCACUUGUCCUUCUAGUGCACACACAAACUUCACACUCCUAGGUGCUGAUGUGGUGACAGUUUGAAUCUCAAAAGGAAUCCCCUUCAGAAACCCAACACCCUUUGGGAAAGCAUUUGGAAGGGAGCCAAUUCGUUAGAUAUGGGGAGCAUAAGGACACCAGGGUUAGCCAGAACAUCUAGAGAAGGGAUUAAUUGGGUUGGGGCACUACCCGGCAGGGAGAGAGCUGUGCAUUAGGAAAGGAUCAUCUCAAGACAGAGAUGAAAAAAAAAAAAACAAAACAAAAACAAAAACAAAAACAAACACACACACACAAAAAAAACACCUUGGGGGUGGGGGUAGAGAGGGAGAAACGAAUCAGAAACUGAAAGAGGGAGAGAGAAGAAGAAAAACACAAAGGAGGGAGAAAAAGAAAAAAAGAAAUAGAAAGACGGAGAAACAAGGAGAAGGGAACCCACAGUCACACAGACCCUGGAACUCAAUUUCUUAAAAUCCAAAAUGCAUCAGUUUAUACCCAAUGCAGCACGGGAGCCACGGGGCACAAAAUGCGGGAGCGGGCGGAGAGAGAGCACUGCAGUAGAACCCACCGCUCAGCUGCCCCGGAUCCGCCUUCCUCCCAUUUUCGCCGUUGCCCUCUGGCGCCCGGAGCAGGAGGGCGGCCGGCAUUGCUCAGCGCACCCUAGUGCCUCCCUCCAGGCGCCUUCUCGCCUGGCUCCGGGAAUCGUUUUCGGAGCAGAGGGAAGGGGUUGGGGGGCUGUGGUAGGGCGGUCGUGGGAAGGAUGGGCGGAGGGCGGAGGCAGCGAAAGCGAUUUUGUUUCGCAGUUAGCAUGAGCUCAUCUCUGGGCUCUGAAGUGGCAGGAGUAGAAAGCUGAUCGCCCAGCUCCUGCCAGUGGCCGGACUGCAAAUGCAAUUUAGACGGUGCAAACACUUGCCCAGAGCAAAUCACCCGGGGGUCACGUCUGCGGGUGGCAUCUCCCCACUUGGGGAGCUUCCCCGCGCCUUCCGCCCCAAAGCCCUCGCGGAGACAGGCUACAGGUCGGGAGAUCCAACCCGAGACAGAUGGGCAAUUGACAUCCACGCGUACAUUGCUUCUUGUAAAUGGGGCCAUAAAUCCAGGAUGUCAAGCCGGAUGGAGUGGAGCGCGGACAGGGGAGAGAUGGAAGGGAAAUGAACCAAGCAGGGAAGGUACCUCCUCGGGUGGGGUGGGAGGGAUUCGCAGGAUCUCCAGGGUGAAACUGCGAGAAGGCUGACCUGACCCCGCACCCCUGGAGUCCAAGCCAGCUUUUAGGAUUAAGAGCGCGGGGAGCUAAAGCGCGCUCUGCCCCGGAGGGAGCGCCUCCCUACCUGGAAGAGCCUCAGGAUGUUGGCUACCAUGAUGGAGACCGAACUCCCUGAAGCCCCAAUCACUCCAACUACUUUCUCCGGCUUGACGAAAACCGGAGGCUCGCCGUUGGUGCAGCGCACGUCGGAGGUGUCCUUCUGGAUGAGCGCCUGGACGAAAGUGAGCGACUGUUCGAGCGCGGCACUCCGCUAGGACCCUUGGCAUGCACCGGGAACAGCCCCCCGAGGGUGACGUCCCCCUCGAUCCGGAUAGAGUGCGGGGCGUACAUCUCCUGGCCGCGCGCCGCC
Leopardus geoffroyi (Geoffroy's cat) is the source of this 2327-nucleotide long non-coding RNA. RefSeq lists it as uncharacterized. NCBI's taxonomy places the organism in Eukaryota, Metazoa, Chordata, Mammalia, Carnivora, Felidae. The transcript has 3 exons. The record is from RefSeq and is a predicted model, not a curated record.